Long non-coding RNA from Pseudophryne corroboree (corroboree frog), 459 nucleotides. RefSeq lists it as uncharacterized. NCBI's taxonomy places the organism in Eukaryota, Metazoa, Chordata, Amphibia, Anura, Myobatrachidae. The transcript has 4 exons. The record is from RefSeq and is a predicted model, not a curated record.
UCACUUUCAUUUUGCUAUUGCUCUGCAGUCUGCAUGCUCUGGUGGGGAUUGUCACAGCGCAGCAGGGGGAGGAGUGACCAGCAACUGAAGAGCCUGUUACAUGGACACCACUGUAGCUCACCAGUGAUGCAACACCGCUCUCUCCUUGGGUGAUGUGAGCCAGGCAGUGGUACUAGAGGAAAUAGCUGGUGAGCUACAGCUGCAUAUCACAUCCGGCACACAGCAGAGGUUCCUUGCAGUGUGGAGCAACUGAUUAUGUGCUGAAGUUGCGACAUUGCCUGGGCUGCCUGACUGAGGAGCCCACUGUUGGACUGAUGUGAGAGGCUAGAGCAGGAUGAAGACUGAAGCCUGAUUUGACAAGGUACACAGACUGGAAAAGAGCCAGCCGGUCGCCGUCGCAAGGUACAGCCGCCCAGAGAAUGCUGUCAUCAACUGGGUGACAUGACCCAUGGCAUGGUC